GGCUUACACUUGAUCGCUGAACUUCAGGUAAGUUGAUGUCGAUAAUAUAUUUUGCUGAUGCC
This 62-nucleotide small nucleolar RNA is filed under the name Erythranthe guttata (spotted monkey flower). RNAcentral's name for it is "Mimulus guttatus (spotted monkey flower) Small nucleolar RNA snoR101". It matches the Rfam family "Small nucleolar RNA snoR101". Lineage: Eukaryota; Viridiplantae; Streptophyta; Magnoliopsida; Lamiales; Phrymaceae. The record is from Rfam by way of RNAcentral.